AUUGAACGCUGGCGGCAUGCCUUACACAUGCAAGUCGAACGGCAGCACGGGAGCAAUCCUGGUGGCGAGUGGCGAACGGGUGAGUAAUAUAUCGGAACGUGCCCAGUCGUGGGGAUAACGUAGCGAAAGCUACGCUAAUACCGCAUACGAUCUAUGGAUGAAAGCGGGGGAUCGCAAGACCUCGCGCGAUUGGAGCGGCCGAUAUCAGAUUAGGUAGUUGGUGAGGUAAAGGCUCACCAAGCCGACGAUCUGUAGCUGGUCUGAGAGGACGACCAGCCACACUGGGACUGAGACACGGCCCAGACUCUACGGGAGGCAGCAGUGGGGAAUUUUGGACAAUGGGCGCAAGCCUGAUCCAGCAAUGCCGCGUGCAGGAUGAAGGCCU
RNAcentral lists this ribosomal RNA (385 nucleotides) under uncultured bacterium. Its description in RNAcentral is "bacterial SSU rRNA". It matches the Rfam family "Bacterial small subunit ribosomal RNA", at positions 30 to 417 of the family's 1533-position model. The record is from RNAcentral.